GGGACGGUAGCUCAGCUGGUUAGAGCGCUGCCCUGUCACGGCAGAGGUCGCGGGUCCGAGUCCCGUCCGUCCCG
This 74-nucleotide transfer RNA is filed under the name Parcubacteria group bacterium. RNAcentral describes it as "tRNA-Asp". It matches the Rfam family "tRNA". Rfam says of the family: Transfer RNA (tRNA) molecules are approximately 80 nucleotides in length. Their secondary structure includes four short double-helical elements and three loops (D, anti-codon, and T loops). RNAcentral also lists the same sequence under 1 other name. The record is from RNAcentral.